GGNCUUACNAUGCAAGUCGAGGGGUAUAGGUUUUCGGACCUAGAGACCGGCGCACGGGUGCGUAACGCGUAUGCAAUCUACCUUUUACAGAGGGAUAGCCCAGAGAAAUUUGGAUUAAUACCUCAUAGUAUAUAGACCUGGCAUCAGGAUUAUAUUAAAGUCACAACGGUAAAAGAUGAGCAUGCGCCCCAUUAGCUUGUUGGUAAGGUAACGGCUUACCAAGGCAACGAUGGGUAGGGGUCCUGAGAGGGAGAUCCCCCACACUGGUACUGAGACACGGACCAGACUCCUACGGGAGGCAGCAGUGAGGAAUAUUGGUCAAUGGGCGCAAGCCUGAACCAGCCAUGCCGCGUGCAGGAUGAAGCAUCUAUGGUGUGUAAACUGCUUUUGUACGAGAAGAAACACUACUUCGUGAAGUAGCUUGACGGUAUCGUAAGAAUAAGGACCGGCUAACUCCGUGCCAGCAGCCGCGGUAAUACGGAGGGUCCAAGCGUUAUCCGGAAUCAUUGGGUUUAAAGGGUCCGUAGGCGGUUUUGUAAGUCGGAUGUGAAAUCCCCGGGCUUAACCCGGGAACUGCAUUCGAGACUGCAUUACUCGAGUAUGGGAGAGGGAAGCGGAAUUUCCGGUGUAGCGGUGAAAUGCGUAGAUAUCGGAAGGAACAUCAGUGGCGAAAGCGGCUUCCUGGCCCAAUACUGACACUCAUGUGCGAAAGCGUGGGGAGCAAACAGGAUUAGAUNACCCUGGGUAGUCCACGCCAUAAACGAUGAGAACUAGAUGUCGAAGAGGGUUAGCCUCACGGNGUCGCANCUAACGCGNUUAAGUUCUCCGNCCUGGGRAGUACGGNCCGCAAGGUUGAAACUCAAAGGAAUUGACGGGGACCCGCACAAGCGGUGGNAGCAUGUNGGUUCAAUNUCGAUGCAACGCGAAGANACCUNUACCUGGCCUUGACAUCCUNCGGAACUUGGCAGAGAUGCCUUGGUGCCUUCGGGAACCGAGAGACAGGUGCUGCAUGGCUGUCGUCAGCUCGUGUCGUGAGAUGUUGGGUUAAGCCCCGCAACGAGCGCAACCCUUGUCCUUAGUUGCCAGCACUUCGGGUGGGCACUCUAAGGAGACCGCCGGUGACAAACCGGAGGAAGGUGGGGAUGACGUCAAGUCAUCAUGGCCUUUAUGGCCAGGGCUACACACGUGCUACAAUGGCCGGUACAAAGGGUUGCCAACCCGCAAGGGGGAGCCAAUCCCAGAAAGCCGGUCGUAGUCCGGAUCGGAGUCUGCAACUCGACUCCGUGAAGUCGGAAUCGCUAGUAAUCGCGAAUCAGCAUUGUCGCGGUGAAUACGUUCCCGGGUCUUGUACACACCGCCCGUCACACCAUGGGAGUUGAUUGCACCAGAAGCAGGUAGCCUGACCGCAAGGGGNCGCNUA
This 1420-nucleotide ribosomal RNA is filed under the name uncultured bacterium. Its description in RNAcentral is "partial 16S ribosomal RNA". It matches the Rfam family "Bacterial small subunit ribosomal RNA". The record is from RNAcentral.